Molecule: unclassified non-coding RNA, 681 nt
Filed under: Hevea brasiliensis (rubber tree)
Lineage: Eukaryota; Viridiplantae; Streptophyta; Magnoliopsida; Malpighiales; Euphorbiaceae
Source: RNAcentral
AACUCAACUCAACUCAACUUUUAUUCAAAAAAUUUGGGAUCGACAUCAAUAACAAGACUCAAUUACAGAAAAAACAUGAAGAAAUUGGGAGACUUAAAAUGUAUUUUUACAAAAUCAUGCUGAAGCAAAACGGGUUUUGAAGGAUUCCCAAGUUAGGCCUUUCUCUAUAUACUCUAUAUUGGAGGGGUCAAAAGGCCCCUUAAUUCUGUCUAUGGACUUGAUUACUGCCCUCGCCGGAAGAACACUCCUCGAUGGAUCCGGUGAAGUCUCGUAGCUCAAGCUCGAAGAGAAUCCCUUGAAAAUGAGCACUUCUACUUCUUGCUUGUCCACAAUUGCUUGAACAAUAAGAGCUUCUUCUCUUGCAGAUUGAGUAUACAUUUCCAACAAAGCAAUCUCCUCAUUAUGUCCAGACUCCUCUUCUUCUUCAUCUUCAUUUUCAUCCUCAUAUCUCACUCUUCUUCUUGCACUACAACGAAUGCUUGAAACUUGUACCUGAGUGCUUAAUAUUAGAUCUCCGAUUUUGGGGAUUAAAAAUACAGUAUUGUGAAUGUGAAGAUGAGGGUUGAGCUUUGAGAGAUUAGGUAAGCGUGAGGAAGAUAUGGCCCAUUUCCCUGUUUGCUUCAACAUUGAAGAUGAACACACCACAGACACCCAAGGGGGUGUUGGUUUGCUUGGAUAAGG